This 1363-nucleotide ribosomal RNA is filed under the name Acantheremus colwelli. Its description in RNAcentral is "SSU rRNA". It matches the Rfam family "Eukaryotic small subunit ribosomal RNA", at positions 48 to 1311 of the family's 1831-position model. The record is from RNAcentral. Lineage: Eukaryota; Metazoa; Arthropoda; Insecta; Orthoptera; Tettigoniidae.
GCCAUGCAUGUCUCAGUGCAGCCAAAUUAAGGUGAAACCGCGAAUGGCUCAUUAAANCNNUUAUGGUUCCUUAGAUCGUACCACAUUACUUGGAUAACUGUGGUAAUUCUAGAGCUAAUACAUGCAAACAGAGUCCCGACCAGAAAUGGAAGGGACGCUUUUAUUAGAUCAAAACCAAUCGGUCGGCUUGUCCGGUCCGUUUGCCUUGGUGACUCUGAAUAACUUUGGGCUGAUCGCACGGUCCUGGAACCGGCGACGCAUCUUUCAAAUGUCUGCCUUAUCAACUGUCGAUGGUAGGUUCUGCGCCUACCAUGGUUGUAACGGGUAACGGGGAAUCAGGGUUCGAUUCCGGAGAGGGAGCCUGAGAAACGGCUACCACAUCCAAGGAAGGCAGCAGGCGCGCAAAUUACCCACUCCCGGCACGGGGAGGUAGUGACGAAAAAUAACGAUACGGGACUCAUCCGAGGCCCCGUAAUCGGAAUGAGUACACUUUAAAUCCUUUAACGAGUAUCCAUUGGAGGGCAAGUCUGGUGCCAGCAGCCGCGGUAAUUCCAGCUCCAAUAGCGUAUAUUAAAGUUGUUGCGGUUAAAAAGCUCGUAGUUGGACUUGUGUCCCACGCUGUCGGUUCAUCGCUCGUCGGUGUCUAACUGGCAUGGUUCGUGGGACGUCCUGCCGGUGGUGGCGAGUCGAAAGCGUGCUCCCGUCGCGGUCUCCGUGUUCGGUUCUUGCGCGCCUAGACGGACCCCGAUCAAAUCCUACCGCGGUGCUCUUCGCCGAGUGUCGAGGUGGGCCGGCACGUUUACUUUGAACAAAUUAGAGUGCUUAAAGCAGGCCUUUUGCGCCUGAAUACUGUGUGCAUGGAAUAAUGGAAUAGGACCUCGGUUCUAUUUUGUUGGUUUUCGGAACCCGAGGUAAUGAUUAAUAGGGACAGGCGGGGGCAUUCGUAUUGCGACGUUAGAGGUGAAAUUCUUGGAUCGUCGCAAGACGGACCGAAGCGAAAGCAUUUGCCAAGUAUGUUUUCAUUAAUCAAGAACGAAAGUUAGAGGUUCGAAGGCGAUCAGAUACCGCCCUAGUUCUAACCAUAAACGAUGCCAGCUAGCGAUCCGCCGAAGUUCCUCCGAUGACUCGGCGGGCAGCUCCCGGGAAACCAAAGCUUUUGGGUUCCGGGGGAAGUAUGGUUGCAAAGCUGAAACUUAAAGGAAUUGACGGAAGGGCACCACCAGGAGUGGAGCCUGCGGCUUAAUUUGACUCAACACGGGAAACCUCACCAGGCCCGGACACCGGAAGGAUUGACAGAUUGAGAGCUCUUUCUUGAUUCGGUGGGUGGUGGUGCAUGGCCGUCUUAGUGGUGAGCGAUGCGGAC